RNAcentral lists this ribosomal RNA (468 nucleotides) under uncultured bacterium. Its description in RNAcentral is "partial 16S ribosomal RNA". It matches the Rfam family "Bacterial small subunit ribosomal RNA", at positions 28 to 507 of the family's 1533-position model. The record is from RNAcentral.
GACGAACGCUGGCGGCGUGCUUAACACAUGCAAGUCGAACGGAAAGGCCCUGCUUUUGUGGCGUGCUCGAGUGGCGAACGGGUGAGUAACACGUGAGUAACCUGCCCCUUACUUUGGGAUAACUUCCGGAAACUGGGGCUAAUACCGGAUAGGACCUCCUGCUGCAGGUUGGGGGUUGGAAAGUUUCCGCGGUUGGGGAUGGACUCGCGGGUUAACAGCCUGUUGGUUGGGUAGUGGCUUACCAAGGCAUUGACGGGUAGCCGGCAUGAGAGGGUGACCGGACACAUUAGGCCUGAGAGACGGCCGAGACGGUUACGGGAGGCAACAGUGGGGAAAAGUGCACAAUAGGGGCAAGCCUGAUACAGCAACGCCGCGAACGGGAUGACGGCCUUCCGGUAGUAAACCGCUUUCGCCUGUGACGAGGCGUAAGUGACGGUAAGGAGUGAAGAAGCACCGGCUAACUACGUG